AGGCUUGAGGUGGAUCUACAGACUGACCAGUAAAACUUUUCAGAGAAACUGUGUGGAGUGGAAAGAGAAACAACACAGGCAAAAUUCCAGAAUAUUAUUCAGAGGCAGAAGAGGAGCCAGAUUAGGGGUCUGAAAAAGGAACCUCCAAAGAAGUGAGACGAGAAAAAAAAAGUUAAGCCAAAAGAGCAAAGAAGUUCUUAAAAGAAUAUUCUUAACAAUGAAAAAGUCAAAGAGAAAUUGGACAGGGUAAAGACCAAGCCAUGCCCAGCGUACUGUGUAAUACCUAGACACAAUGCGUGACUUCCAGGGAAGGUGGUUUCAUGGAACUGCAGAGACAUGAUUCCUGCUGUACGGGAGCAAAUAAUAAGUGACGGAUGAAGAAGUGGAGUGAAUGCUGCGAGCUUUCUGAUGGAAGAGAGAAAGGGGGGGCCGCUCUCCAUGUAGAAGGGAUAAAACUCAAGACCCUGCUCUUGCCAGGCAGCACUUAUGCCACUGAGCUAAAUCCUCAGUCCUGGGAGAGCCAAAAGAAAAGAAAAACUGGAUCUUACUGUAUCCAAGGCUAGGUUUGAACUCCCAGUGAUGCUUCUGCCUCAACUUCCCAAAAUGCUGAGAUUACAGGCAUGUGCCACCAUGCCUGUUUACCUUUGCUCUUUUAAGGCUAUUUUUACUUUGUUCUCUGGUGGGGCACGUAAAAAUGCUAGUUGAUUAGGUUGCACUGACAUCUGCUGGUAAGAAAGUAAAUUCCGUAAAAAUUGUUACUUGUUUAAAUGGAACAGUCUUUAAAACUCGUAGCUGCAUUCUCAAUUUACCAAAUUAAUAAAUAAGAAUGAUAAUUUCUGGUUCAUAGUUCAGUUUGAUUCUAGUGCAUCUCUCUUUGUUAGUCAGUGGUAUUUAAACAGAAACUUGAUAAAGAGCUAAAAUAUCUUUUAAAUGAUAACCUCUUCCCAUCCAUUACAUCUUCAAGGCCUUUAAAGCUACAAUACUUAUAGUAAUACAUAGUUAGAAUUUACUUUAAGAAAAUUUCUCUGAGGAGAUAAGUUUAGGCUGCAGUUGAGGUGGCAGGCUCUGGGAAUGUUACUUUCAAGGGCAGUGUUUUUAUGUUUUGUUUUGGUUUUUCUUGACAGGAAGUAUAACAUGGCUACUUUACAAUCUAAUAAUUCAUAGAAUUUUAUAAUUGAAAAGAAAUUUAUUAAUCAUUUAGUUUGCCCUCCAUUUUGUAGCUGUGGAAAUUGAGAUGUAGAUAAAUUUAAAUAACUUUUAAC
Molecule: long non-coding RNA, 1262 nt
Organism: Cavia porcellus (domestic guinea pig)
Lineage: Eukaryota; Metazoa; Chordata; Mammalia; Rodentia; Caviidae
Exons: 3
Source: RefSeq, a predicted model, not a curated record